Papaver somniferum (opium poppy) is the source of this 3544-nucleotide long non-coding RNA. RefSeq lists it as uncharacterized. The transcript has 6 exons. The record is from RefSeq and is a predicted model, not a curated record. NCBI's taxonomy places the organism in Eukaryota, Viridiplantae, Streptophyta, Magnoliopsida, Ranunculales, Papaveraceae.
AUAAACUUUUCUUUGUGAGACUGAAUGGAGCUUCCACAUCCACUGCUGCUUUACCUAUUAAAGGAAAGCUCCGUUCUGAACUACUCUUUAUCUUUAUCUUCAUCUUCAUCUUCAUAAUCCUCAAAACCAGACAUAUCGAGAUCCAAAACAUUUUCAUCAUGGUCCUCUUCAUUUACCAUUUUUUUCUUUCCUUUGUUAGGACUCUUCUUUAAGAAACAACAGAUUUCUUCCUUGGCUGGUUACUAACAGUAGAUUCAGAUUUAUUUGGUUUUUUAUGCUUCUUCUUUGUUAGAUCUGUACGACCAGUCGUCGAAUCUACAUUCAUGGGGGUCGUUGUUUCACCAUCUUCAAUAUUUUUUAACGAUGAUAACAAAUUAGGGAUUUUGUACAUUGUGUGCUGUGAUUUUUAACCUAAUUGUGUUUGUUCAAUUUUUUUUUGUCGUUCCUUCUGAUGGAUCUCAUGCCUCUUUCUGUCUCUUUAAUUAUCUCUUUGAAACAAAAUUAAUCACUGCAAAAAAAUCUGGAGGUUUGAUGAAUAUGUGUAUUUUGGUGGUGAAUCUAGAAUUACUCCUCUGCAUAUUAAGAGCUCAGCUACCGUAACUAUUAAGCAAUAUUUGGCCUCGGUCAGAAUGAUUGAUUAUGUACAUAGAUGGGUGAUUUUAAACUCAGCUUGGAGAUAAGGGUUUUUUAUACCAAGCUGAGUUUAAGGGUUUCAUUCAAUUUUACUCUCUGAUGAUCUGUUAUUCAAUCAACAUCAUAAAAUCGAUUAUUGUGAUCACAAGACUGAUGAUUACAAGUUAGCAAUAGAUUCAAUUUUACCCAUUCAAAUCAUCUCUUCUACAUUAUUGUGAUGGAUUCUUGGGUUCAUGUAGGUCUAGUUUGCAUGUGGUUGUUUUAUUAUGGUGGUGGUAAUAGGAAUUUAUUCUGUCUUUGGAACCCAGCCACAAGAGAAUAUAAAGAAUUACCUGAAUCACCAAUUGAAUUUAAUAGAGACAGUGUUUGCAUACAUGAUUUUGGUUAUGAUCACAAGACUGAUGAUUACAAGUUAGCAAUAGGUUUAAAACCUCCUGGAAGCAAGGAUACUACUCUAGUCCAAGUCUAUACAUUAGCAUCAAAUUUGUGGAAAAGGGAAAAAACCAAAUUUGUGGAAAAGGGAAAAAACCAUACCUUAUCGGUUUUGUGAUAUGCAAAUAUCCGGGGUGCUUGUUAAUGGAAACCUUCAUUGGUUAGCGCUAGGUCAAUACAACUUAUUAUUACUCUCUUUAGAUAUCAGUGAUGAGAAUUUCGAAGAAAUGCAACUACCAAGAGAAAUCCUUGAGAUGAAUAAGGAUAUGUCUCUAGGUGUGCUGCAAGGGUGCCUUCGCUUACUUGUCAGCUCACAUGUGAAUGGUGUUGAAAAUUAUUUUGAAGUAUGGGAGAUGCUGGAUUAUGGAGUUCGAGAAUCUUGGACUAAGCGUUAUGUCAUUUCCCACGAGAGUAUUAUUAAUGAGCAAAGAUAUUUUAAGCUUGUGCGGUCUUUUGAGAACGAUGAGAUUCUACUCUUGAGUGGCGAUAUUCUAGUUUUGUAUGACCCAAAACAUGGAAGUGCCAGAGAACUAAAAAUCGACGAUGUUCCAUUCAGGAACGCCGAGACUUACUGUGAAAGCUUAGUUUCUUUGAACUCUGGCACUUGCAAUGUGGGAGUACGUGAGAGUAGGUCUGAAGAAACAUUAGACCGUAUAAGAAACUCAAAUAGUUGGAGUGAUUGUAUUUUGAGUUUCAUGUUUUUGCUAUAUGUAUUGGUAUAUAUUUAUGUAGUUUAUUUUUAAUUGAAUAGCUGUUGUUUAAUGUCUACUACACAUGUUAGGUAUCUUCGUCAGUUACUCUUACCUCCUUUUUCCAUGUCAUCAUGUAUUUCUAUCUGGGGAAUGCAAGACUUGGUAACUGGCAGCUUCAAAUUUCUGAGUUGGUAUUGGAAGUUGAUGUUACCACCUGUAAUAUAGUGGAAGAUCAACUUUGAAUAUUCAAUUUAUUAACGUGUCUAGGGAACAUGCAUUUUGUCUAUGUUUCUCUUUUGUGAAAGGUAUAGUGUUUUCGCUCUUCUUUUUCUGAAAACUAAUGUAUGAGAUGAUCAUUUUCUCUUUCACAGGCAAAAUGGUUGGAUUAAAAAUAAUUAUUAUUUUUACCAAUAGUUAUUUAUCUAAAAAGCAUGAUCCACAGCUGUAAGAAGGAACUUAUUCAAUUUUAUUGCCUGUAAGCAAACGUUUCACAUAGUUUGGUUUGGGUGUUGAAAAAUCGUUUGUUAUGUGCUUCUGGCCGGGUAACAUAUUUCUGUAAACUUUUAUUUGCCAUUUUUGUUACCGCUGUCAUCUCUGAAUUGAUACGCUACACAUUGACGCUGGCGCGAAGUUCUGGUGGUGUAGCUGCUCGCAUGCCCUUGAUCAGGGAGCAGCUUAAGGAUUCCUCAAAGGUUAGCUUCAGGGUUCAGUAUCCCCAUAACCCUGUAAACAUUUUAAGAGAGGACCGCAGGGAAUUUAUGCAAACUAAAUAUGGAACUUCCAUAACGUUGGCAUGAUUCAGUUUGAGUAGAAGGGAUGAAACUUGGGAUUGGCACCUUCAGAAGCUUCUCACCAGAAGUCUCCGGUAAUGAGCGUUGGUUCCAAAACUCCCUCUUCAACCUCAAUUACAUCAGACGGGUGAUUACUGCAAGUUUAAAUUGAAAAAAAAUUAGUUCUUAUUCUGAUGCCUGUUGUCUGGCAGUUGACUUGUUUUCUGUUUGGCACCCUUACUAGCGUGCUUGGCAAUCGGGGUAUAUUCAAAGCUGCUUGAUGCUUCACUAAAUGGGCUCCUGGUUUUGCUUUCGGUGAUAGAGAUUCUUAUGAGUGGCAUGAGUGCCUCUGAAGAUUCUGCAGCAGCUGCAGCUUUGGCCUUGAGGCACUUCUGUGAUGAUUGCCGAAAAAGCUUUGUGGAUCUCUACAGCACCUUUUACUGUUCUGAUAUUCACUGGUUGAGACUAUGUUGCAAAUCUCUGUUGUAGGACUAGCUGAUGAUUAUUUUUUGUUGGCGUCUCGAUGCAUCCUCUAUCGCGCUCAUCUUUUAGUUGCAUCAGCUGUAUUCCCACCGUUAGCUGAUGGUGCGAUGAUUGGGUACAAUAUGACACAGGUUACAUACGCUGUACUAGCCUUGAGGAGGGCCUAUGGAUGAACCUAUGGCACUUGAGUGGGCCAAAGAAAGCACUUUAUUGAUUCCAUCAACAGUUGUAACAGAAGUGGAGUGUUCAAGAUUUCAUCAAGCUUUAUCAGAUGCAGCAUCUGGGGAUGAUAUUUCGUCUUUAAGCACUAUGGUGCCCUUUAUCCCUUCCCUCUCUCUCAUAUGUAGGGGAAAAAACUCAAAACCCUACUACUAUGGUCUCCCAUAUUCCUACACAAGUAGGGAUAUCCUAGCUGGGAUAUUCCGUGUAAAAUUGAGCUUGUAAUUUACACGUAUCCGUUUCUGGUUUUCACAGUUUUACACCAACAUUUUUUUUUUACUUUUUUUUUUUACUAAAACUCUAUUUUUUUUUACC